RNAcentral lists this transfer RNA (59 nucleotides) under Campylobacter coli. It matches the Rfam family "tRNA", at positions 11 to 68 of the family's 71-position model. Rfam says of the family: Transfer RNA (tRNA) molecules are approximately 80 nucleotides in length. Their secondary structure includes four short double-helical elements and three loops (D, anti-codon, and T loops). Further hydrogen bonds mediate the characteristic L-shaped molecular structure. tRNAs have two regions of fundamental functional importance: the anti-codon, which is responsible for specific mRNA codon recognition, and the 3' end, to which the tRNAs corresponding amino acid is attached (by aminoacyl-tRNA synthetases). tRNAs cope with the degeneracy of the genetic code in two manners: having more than one tRNA (with a specific anti-codon) for a particular amino acid; and 'wobble' base-pairing, i.e. permitting non-standard base-pairing at the 3rd anti-codon position. Lineage: Bacteria; Pseudomonadati; Campylobacterota; Epsilonproteobacteria; Campylobacterales; Campylobacteraceae. RNAcentral also lists the same sequence under 1 other name. The record is from RNAcentral.
UCCAACGGUAGAGCACCGGAUUCCAAAUCCGAUGGUUGGGGGUUCGAAUCCCUCUUGCC